AUUGAACGCUGGCGGCAGGCCUAACACAUGCAAGUCGAACGGUAACAGGAAGAAGCUUGCUUCUUUGCUGACGAGUGGCGGACGGGUGAGUAAUGUCUGGGAAACUGCCUGAUGGAGGGGGAUAACUACUGGAAACGGUAGCUAAUACCGCAUAACGUCGCAAGACCAAAAAGGGGGACCUUCGGGCCUCUUGCCAUCGGAUGUGCCCAGAUGGGAUUAGCUAGUAGGUGGGGUAACGGCUCACCUAGGCGACGAUCCCUAGCUGGUCUGAGAGGAUGACCAGCCACACUGGAACUGAGACACGGUCCAGACUCCUACGGGAGGCAGCAGUGGGGAAUAUUGCACAAUGGGCGCAAGCCUGAUGCAGCCAUGCCGCGUGUAUGAAGAAGGCCUUCGGGUUGUAAAGUACUUUCAGCGGGGAGGAAGGGAGUAAAGUUAAUACCUUUGCUCAUUGAUGUUACCCGCAGAAGAAGCACCGGCUAACUCCGUG
Molecule: ribosomal RNA, 490 nt
Filed under: uncultured bacterium
Lineage: Bacteria
Description: partial 16S ribosomal RNA
Rfam family: Bacterial small subunit ribosomal RNA
Source: RNAcentral